GAUGAACGCUGGCGGCGUGCCUAAUACAUGCAAGUCGAGCGAACGGACGAGAAGCUUGCUUCUCUGAUGUUAGCGGCGGACGGGUGAGUAACACGUGGAUAACCUACCUAUAAGACUGGGAUAACUUCGGGAAACCGGAGCUAAUACCGGAUAACAUUUUGAACCGCAUGGUUUAACAGUGAAAGACGGUCUUGCUGUCACUUAUAGAUGGAUCCGCGCUGCAUUAGCUAGUUGGUAAGGUAACGGCUUACCAAGGCAACGAUGCAUAGCCGACCUGAGAGGGUGAUCGGCCACACUGGAACUGAGACACGGUCCAGACUCCUACGGGAGGCAGCAGUAGGGAAUCUUCCGCAAUGGGCGAAAGCCUGACGGAGCAACGCCGCGUGAGUGAAGAAGGUCUUCGGAUCGUAAAACUCUGUUAUUAGGGAAGAACAUAUGUGUAAGUAACUGUGCACAUCUUGACGGUACCUAAUCAGAAAGCCACGGCUAACUACGUG
Molecule: ribosomal RNA, 497 nt
Filed under: uncultured bacterium
Lineage: Bacteria
Description: partial 16S ribosomal RNA
Rfam family: Bacterial small subunit ribosomal RNA
Source: RNAcentral